This 446-nucleotide ribosomal RNA is filed under the name uncultured organism. RNAcentral's name for it is "partial 16S ribosomal RNA". It matches the Rfam family "Bacterial small subunit ribosomal RNA", at positions 334 to 797 of the family's 1533-position model. The record is from RNAcentral.
CACUCCUGCGGGAGGCAGCAGUGGGGAAUAUUGGACAAUGGGCGCAAGCCUGAUCCAGCCAUGCCGCGUGAGUGAUGAAGGCCCUAGGGUUGUAAAGCUCUUUCACCGGAGAAGAUAAUGACGGUAUCCGGAGAAGAAGCCCCGGCUAACUUCGUGCCAGCAGCCGCGGUAAUACGAAGGGGGCUAGCGUUGUUCGGAAUUACUGGGCGUAAAGCGCACGUAGGCGGAUCGAUCAGUCAGGGGUGAAAUCCCAGGGCUCAACCCUGGAACUGCCUUUGAUACUGUCGAUCUGGAGUAUGGAAGAGGUGAGUGGAAUUCCGAGUGGAGAGGUGAAAUUCGUAGAUAUUCGGAGGAACACCAGUGGCGAAGGCGGCUCACUGGUCCAUUACUGACGCUGAGGUGCGAAAGCGUGGGGAGCAAACAGGAUUAGAAACCCGGGUAGUCCC